This 584-nucleotide ribosomal RNA is filed under the name uncultured bacterium. Its description in RNAcentral is "bacterial SSU rRNA". It matches the Rfam family "Bacterial small subunit ribosomal RNA", at positions 338 to 916 of the family's 1533-position model. The record is from RNAcentral.
CCUACGGGAGGCAGCAGUGGGGAAUUUUGGACAAUGGGCGAAAGCCUGAUCCAGCAAUGCCGCGUGCAGGAAGAAGGCCUUCGGGUUGUAAACUGCUUUUGUACGGAACGAAACGGUUCGCUUUAAUACAGUGGGCUAAUGACGGUACCGUAAGAAUAAGCACCGGCUAACUACGUGCCAGCAGCCGCGGUAAUACGUAGGGUGCGAGCGUUAAUCGGAAUUACUGGGCGUAAAGCGUGCGCAGGCGGUUAUAUAAGACAGUUGUGAAAUCCCCGGGCUCAACCUGGGAAUUGCAUCUGUGACUGUAUAGCUAGAGUACGGUAGAGGGGGAUGGAAUUCCGCGUGUAGCAGUGAAAUGCGUAGAUAUGCGGAGGAACACCGAUGGCGAAGGCAAUCCCCUGGACCUGUACUGACGCUCAUGCACGAAAGCGUGGGGAGCAAACAGGAUUAGAUACCCUGGUAGUCCACGCCCUAAACGAUGUCAACUGGUUGUUGGGUGCAUUAGUACUCAGUAACGAAGCUAACGCGUGAAGUUGACCGCCUGGGGAGUACGGCCGCAAGGUUGAAACUUAAUGAAUUGACGG